RNAcentral lists this ribosomal RNA (480 nucleotides) under uncultured bacterium. RNAcentral describes it as "bacterial SSU rRNA". It matches the Rfam family "Bacterial small subunit ribosomal RNA", at positions 30 to 502 of the family's 1533-position model. The record is from RNAcentral.
AUUGAACGCUGGCGGCAGGCCUAACACAUGCAAGUCGAGCGGUAGAGAGAAGCUUGCUUCUCUUGAGAGCGGCGGACGGGUGAGUAAUACCUAGGAAUCUGCCUGAUAGUGGGGGAUAACGUUCGGAAACGGACGCUAAUACCGCAUACGUCCUACGGGAGAAAGCAGGGGACCUUCGGGCCUUGCGCUAUAAGAUGAGCCUAGGUCGGAUUAGCUAGUUGGUGAGGUAAUGGCUCACCAAGGCUACGAUCCGUAACUGGUCUGAGAGGAUGAUCAGUCACACUGGAACUGAGACACGGUCCAGACUCCUACGGGAGGCAGCAGUGGGGAAUAUUGGACAAUGGGCGAAAGCCUGAUCCAGCCAUGCCGCGUGUGUGAAGAAGGUCUUCGGAUUGUAAAGCACUUUAAGUUGGGAGGAAGGGCAUUAACCGUAAUACGUUAGUGUACUUGACGUUACGACAGAAUAAGCACCGGCUAAAC